UCCUCAUUGGCAGAUGAAGUGUACUAAUUUUAGGUUUUAGGGAUGUAAGAGUUUAAAUUACAUGGGGGA
Molecule: transfer RNA, 69 nt
Filed under: Coloceras sp. SLC-2011
Lineage: Eukaryota; Metazoa; Arthropoda; Insecta; Psocodea; Philopteridae
Description: tRNA-Leu
Source: RNAcentral